This 336-nucleotide long non-coding RNA is filed under the name Vulpes vulpes (red fox). Its description in RNAcentral is "lncRNA (ENSVVUG00000014807.1)". The record is from RNAcentral. Lineage: Eukaryota; Metazoa; Chordata; Mammalia; Carnivora; Canidae.
AUGCACAUGGGGGACCAGCAGACCAGAGCAUGGAGAAGUGAUGCGGGGCACGCAGAGCCUUGCACCUCAAGGUAUGGAAUCAAAUGUCUGCUAAGAGAAGCCUCAGGAUUUAAUGCAAUGAAGAAUAAUGAUGUGCAAGUAGUAAACACUGUGAGUAAACAUGGGCUUCUGAAUUGUUUGAAACUUCUUUCCCCGUUGACUCUGGCGGCCGACAUGAUGGUCAUUCACUUUUCAGGAUCAGAUUUGAUGUGUGGAUAGCUGGUGAUAUACUUGAGGAUUUUAGUAUUCUUCACGUAUAAACCUAGUGUGUUUGUGUGCUAGAAAUCUGUAUUUUAC